RNAcentral lists this ribosomal RNA (522 nucleotides) under Sutcliffiella horikoshii. RNAcentral's name for it is "bacterial SSU rRNA". It matches the Rfam family "Bacterial small subunit ribosomal RNA", at positions 348 to 861 of the family's 1533-position model. Lineage: Bacteria; Bacillati; Bacillota; Bacilli; Caryophanales; Bacillaceae. The record is from RNAcentral.
GCAGCAGUAGGGAAUCUUCCACAAUGGACGAAAGUCUGAUGGAGCAACGCCGCGUGAGCGAUGAAGGCCUUCGGGUCGUAAAGCUCUGUUGUUAGGGAAGAACAAGUGCGAGAGUAACUGCUCGCACCUUGACGGUACCUAACCAGAAAGCCACGGCUAACUACGUGCCAGCAGCCGCGGUAAUACGUAGGUGGCAAGCGUUGUCCGGAAUUAUUGGGCGUAAAGCGCGCGCAGGUGGUCCUUUAAGUCUGAUGUGAAAGCCCACGGCUCAACCGUGGAGGGUCAUUGGAAACUGGGGGACUUGAGUGCAGAAGAGGAAAGUGGAAUUCCAAGUGUAGCGGUGAAAUGCGUAGAGAUUUGGAGGAACACCAGUGGCGAAGGCGACUUUCUGGUCUGUAACUGACACUGAGGCGCGAAAGCGUGGGGAGCAAACAGGAUUAGAUACCCUGGUAGUCCACGCCGUAAACGAUGAGUGCUAAGUGUUAGAGGGUUUCCGCCCUUUAGUGCUGCAGCUAACGCAUA